This 490-nucleotide ribosomal RNA is filed under the name uncultured bacterium. RNAcentral's name for it is "partial 16S ribosomal RNA". It matches the Rfam family "Bacterial small subunit ribosomal RNA", at positions 30 to 507 of the family's 1533-position model. The record is from RNAcentral.
AUUGAACGCUGGCGGCAGGCCUAACACAUGCAAGUCGAAUGGUAACAGGCAACAGCUUGCUGUUUCGCUGACGAGUGGCGGACGGGUGAGUAAUGUCUGGGAAACUGCCUGAUGGAGGGGGAUAACUACUGGAAACGGACGCUAAUACCGCAUAACGUCGCAAGACCAAAGAGCGGGACCUUCGGGCCUCUUGCCAUCAGAUGUGCCCAGAUGGGAUUAGCUAGUAGGUGGGGUAACGGCUCACCUAGGCGACGAUCCGUAGCUGGUCUGAGAGGAUGACCAGCCACACUGGAACUGAGACACGGUCCAGACUCCUACGGGAGGCAGCAGUGGGGAAUAUUGCACAAUGGGCGCAAGCCUGAUGCAGCCAUGCCGCGUGUAUGAAGAAGGCCUUCGGGUUGUAAAGUACUUUCAGCGGGGAGGAAGGGAGUAAAGUUAAUACCUUUGCUCAUUGACGUUACCCGCAGAAGAAGCACCGGCUAACUCCGUG